Molecule: ribosomal RNA, 497 nt
Filed under: uncultured bacterium
Lineage: Bacteria
Description: partial 16S ribosomal RNA
Rfam family: Bacterial small subunit ribosomal RNA
Source: RNAcentral
GAUGAACGCUGGCGGCGUGCCUAAUACAUGCAAGUCGAGCGAACAGACGAGGAGCUUGCUCCUCUGACGUUGGCGGCGGACGGGUGAGUAACACGUGGAUAACCUACCUCUAAGACUGGGAUAACUUCGGGAAACCGGAGCUAAUACCGGAUAAUAUAUUGAACCGCAUGGUUCAAUAGUGAAAGACGGUUUUGCUGUCACUUAUAGAUGGAUCCGCGCCGCAUUAGCUAGUUGGUAAGGUAACGGCUUACCAAGGCAACGAUGCGUAGCCGACCUGAGAGGAUGAUCGGCCACACUGGAACUGAGACACGGUCCAGACUCCUACGGGAGGCAGCAGUAGGGAAUCUUCGGCAAUGGGCGAAAGCUUGACGGAGCAACACCGCGUGAGUGAUGAAGGUCUUCGGAUCGUAAAGCUCUGUUAUUAGGGAAGAACAACUGUGUAAGUAACUAUGCACGUCUUGACGGUACCUAAUCAGAAAGCCACGGCUAACUACGUG